RNAcentral lists this ribosomal RNA (424 nucleotides) under uncultured bacterium. Its description in RNAcentral is "bacterial SSU rRNA". It matches the Rfam family "Bacterial small subunit ribosomal RNA", at positions 357 to 772 of the family's 1533-position model. The record is from RNAcentral.
AGGAAUCUUGCGCAAUGGGCGAAAGCCUGACGCAGCGACGCCGCGUGAGGGAUGAAGGCCUUCGGGUUGUAAACCUCUGUCAGGGGGGAAGAAUCCGGAGUCGGUGAAUAACCGCCUCCGCUGACGGUACCCCCAGAGGAAGCACCGGCUAACUACGUGCCAGCAGCCGCGGUAAUACGUAGGGAGCAAGCGUUGUUCGGAUUUACUGGGCGUAAAGGGCGCGUAGGCGGCGCGGUAAGUCACUUGUGAAAUCUCUGAGCUUAACUCAGAACGGCCAAGUGAUACUGCAGUGCUAGAGUGUAGAAGGGGCAAUCGGAAUUCUUGGUGUAGCGGUGAAAUGCGUAGAUAUCAAGAGGAACACCUGAGGUGAAGACGGGUUGCUGGUCUAACACUGACGCUGAGGCGCGAAAGCCAGGGGAGCAAA